UCGUGAACAAAGCCUCGGUUCUAUUUUCAUGCGCCGUGUUGAUUCGAGAACGUGCGAUGCGCGUAGUCGGACAACGCCAGCCGACAUGAGAUACGCUUUUGGGAGCCGGGGUCUUAACACUUAUUUCGGGGCUUAAAGAUGGAGGUUGUCCUGAAUUUAGGGGGGCGUGUCGGUGUGGGAGGGGCCAGCCCCUGCCUUGCUCAUGGUCGCCGGACUACCUCACUGAGAGGUUGACCUCGCCGGACCUAACUGAGUGACUACAUUGGAUCUCUGACAGGCUUCCCGGAAAGACAGCUAGGCAGGACGCAAAGCGACAGCUCAAGAUUCCUUUUCGAUCCAUGGACCAAAUGGUGCUGGGGAGGGCCCGCGAGGCCUUCGCGACAGACAGCAGGUCUAGGAGCGACCCUGAUGCGUGCGGCGAGCACGGGCAGAAGCUCACGCUCUUCUGCUUGGAAGACCUGGAGCCCAUCUGCGGGGCUUGCGCUAAAGGUGGGGCCCACGGGGGGCACAGGCUUUACCCCAUUGGAGAGGGGGCACAUGACUGUAAGGAAGAGCUGAAGGGAGCCCUGCUGCCUUUGAAGGAGAAGUUACAGCAGUACAAGGAGGCCAAAAUUGUAUGCGAGGACAUGCAGGAGCACGUUAAGAUCCAGUUGGAUAACACGGAAAGGCAGAUCAAGAUGGAAUUUGAGGCGCUCCACCUAUUCCUGAGGGAGCAGGAGGAGGCCAGGCUGUCGGCCCUGAAGAACGAGGAGGCUACAAAGAGCCUGAUCAUCCAGCAGAGGAUCGACGAUUUGGACCAAGAGUUGGUCUCGCUCUCCAGAGUGAUCAGCUUAGUGGAGAGGGAGAUGGAAAUGCAAGAUAUUCACUUCCUUAAGAAUUACAAGGACAUAAUAAGGAGAACCUGGAUAAGCUGCUGCGAGCCAGAAGAAAUGUUUGAUGCUCUGAUUGACGUGGCAAAGCAUAUCGGCACACUGAAGUACCAAGUGUGGGAGAAAAUGAGGAAAAUAGUUAAAUAUAGUCCCGUCAUCGUGGAUCCCAACACAGCUGCCAACUGCUUCAUCCUGUCCGAGGACCUGACAGUGGUCCAGAAUUCAACACAGAACUUCAAAGUUCCCAACAACGCGGAACGUUUCGACAUCAGCGCCGAGAUGCUAGGCGCCGAGGGCUACACGGAGGGUCGCCAUAACUGGACCGUGGAGGUAAAGGACAACACCUACUGGGUGGUUGGCGUGGCCAGCGAGUCCAUCAACCGCAAGGGCAAGCACGUGCUGACGCCAGCCGAGGGCUUCUGGACAAUACGCUUUCGCAACGACGAGUACAAGGCGUGCACGGCGCCGUGGGAGCCGCUCAACAUGAAGUCUAAGCCGGACAUGAUCAAGGUACUGCUGGACAUGGACCGAGGCAAGGUGGCCUUUUACAGCCCUCCGGAAAGGGAGCCGCUCUACACCUUCACCGACGUCUUCACGGCCAAAGCCUUUCCUUACUUUUGCACCGCUUGCAAAGAACACCCGCUGACGAUCCUGCCCGCUAGAUUGACUCUUUCGACCGACUGAUCACUCCUCACGCGCGAGCAUCCGCACGAAGCUAAGACAACAGCCGAAUCAGACGAAGAAUCCAGCACCUACGACUCACACACAGUUUGAGAGCCACGAUUUUAAAAAAACAUGAAACUAACUCAAGGCACAUUUUAUAGGAUAGGAUUUUUAAUUGGAGUUCGCACAAGAGCUGAUGAUUUCUAUAUUAAAUCUUUGUCAGCUGAUGAUGAUGAUGUCACUAAAGGUUUUAGACAUGUUACAUGUAAUGAGGGCACCAAUAGGUGACAUAUUAUAAAAAAAAAACGUUUUCAUAAAAUUCCA
RNA transcript from Syngnathus acus (greater pipefish), 1856 nucleotides. It is a transcript of the gene named tripartite motif containing 35-13, with no coding region annotated. Lineage: Eukaryota; Metazoa; Chordata; Actinopteri; Syngnathiformes; Syngnathidae. The record is from RefSeq and is a predicted model, not a curated record. The transcript is spliced from 7 exons.